Molecule: long non-coding RNA, 538 nt
Filed under: Equus asinus (donkey)
Lineage: Eukaryota; Metazoa; Chordata; Mammalia; Perissodactyla; Equidae
Description: lncRNA (ENSEASG00005028541.1)
Source: RNAcentral
GUGCGUGAGGCCGCUCCCGGGAAGGGGGUGGUAGGAAGCUCGCGGAGCCAAUGGCCGCGGCGGGCGGGCGGUGGCGCGCGUAACUUACAAGAUUAAAAUUAAAUUUGGUUGACGAUGGUUCUGAACAAAUACAGCUCCUUUAUUUGAGGUAUGCCAUUUUGAAGACAGACCGUGGAGUUUUAUCCUUGAGGACAAAGGAAGUCUUUGCGAAAGUCUUAUUUUAUAUAGCAAAAAUGUGAAUCCUGAGAAUGAAUUCUGUAAAGGUCCUGUACAACGUAAUAGAUGUUGGUGGAAGCAUUUACACCCAGUCAGCUUGAAGAGUCUCAAAUGGACCCUACUACUGAGAAAUCAAGAUGGCAGUCCACUAUGGGGAAUUGAGGAAAAUGGAUUAAUACAAGAGUGCUGUGAUAAUAUACAACCAAGACAGGGUUCUUUUAACAUGGAUUUCAUGACAUGAAUGAAGAUAUAGGUUUCUUACCCAACACAAUGGACAGUGGAUUUGACUUUCUAAAGACUUUUUGUAUCAUUAAAACAAGUA